UCAAUUAUAAACUUUACUCCACGGAUUAGCAUUGCGUGUUGCCAAUAAUCUGAUAACACAUUUCGCAUUAGUAUAAAUACAAGGAGUAGCUGCUGUAAUAUCAUAACACAAUCAAGUGAUACUAACAAGUCUACUUGUGCUCAAGUGAAAUUUGCUUGAAACAAUUAUUUUGUUUUAAAUUAUUUCUUCAAACUAUCUAUCGAAAAUGCAGCGCAACCCAGCUUUCCCCUCCGCCAUGAGCUCCG
Long non-coding RNA from Spodoptera frugiperda (fall armyworm), 245 nucleotides. RefSeq lists it as uncharacterized. Lineage: Eukaryota; Metazoa; Arthropoda; Insecta; Lepidoptera; Noctuidae. The record is from RefSeq and is a predicted model, not a curated record. The transcript is spliced from 2 exons.